GGCGAACGCUGGCGGCGUGCCUAAUACAUGCAAGUCGAGCGAAGUUUUUCUGGUGCUUGCACUAGAAAAACUUAGCGGCGAACGGGUGAGUAACACGUAAAGAACCUGCCUCAUAGACUGGGACAACUAUUGGAAACGAUAGCUAAUACCGGAUAACAGUAUUUCUCGCAUGAGAGAUAUUUAAAAGUUGGUUAUGCUAACACUAUGAGAUGGCUUUGCGGUGCAUUAGCUAGUUGGUGGGGUAAAGGCCCACCAAGGCGACGAUGCAUAGCCGACCUGAGAGGGUGAUCGGCCACACUGGGACUGAGACACGGCCCAGACUCCUACGGGAGGCAGCAGUAGGGAAUCUUCCGCAAUGGGCGAAAGCCUGACGGAGCAACGCCGCGUGAGUGAAGAAGGAUUUCGGUUCGUAAAGCUCUGUUGUUAGGGAAGAAUGGAUAUGUAGUAACUAUACAUGUAAGAGACGGUACCUAACCAGAAAGCCACGGCUAACUACGU
This 498-nucleotide ribosomal RNA is filed under the name uncultured bacterium. RNAcentral's name for it is "partial 16S ribosomal RNA". It matches the Rfam family "Bacterial small subunit ribosomal RNA", at positions 28 to 506 of the family's 1533-position model. The record is from RNAcentral.